RNAcentral lists this ribosomal RNA (449 nucleotides) under uncultured bacterium. RNAcentral describes it as "partial 16S ribosomal RNA". It matches the Rfam family "Bacterial small subunit ribosomal RNA", at positions 29 to 523 of the family's 1533-position model. The record is from RNAcentral.
AACGAACGCUGGCGGCAUGCCUAACACAUGCAAGUCGAGCGAAGCCUUCGGGCUUAGUGGCGCACGGGUGCGUAACGCGUGGGAAUCUACCCUUUGGUUCGGAAUAACAGUUGGAAACGACUGCUAAUGCCGGAUGAUGACGAAAGUCCAAAGAUUUAUCGCCAGAGGAUGAGCCCGUGUAGGAUUAGCUAGUUGGUGUGGUAAAGGCGCACCAAGGCGACGAUCCUUAGCUGGUCUGAGAGGAUGAUCAGCCACACUGGGACUGAGACACGGCCCAGACUCCUACGGGAGGCAGCAGUGGGGAAUAUUGGACAAUGGGCGAAAGCCUGAUCCAGCAAUGCCGCGUGAGUGAUGAGGGCCCUAGGGUUGUAAAGCUCUUUUACCCGGGAUGAUAAUGACAGUACCGGGAGAAUAAGCCCCGGCUAACUCCGUGCCAGCCGCCGCAGUAA